This 428-nucleotide ribosomal RNA is filed under the name uncultured prokaryote. Its description in RNAcentral is "bacterial SSU rRNA". It matches the Rfam family "Bacterial small subunit ribosomal RNA", at positions 355 to 776 of the family's 1533-position model. RNAcentral also lists the same sequence under 1 other name. The record is from RNAcentral.
UCGAGAAUUUUUCACAAUGGGGGAAACCCUGAUGGAGCGACGCCGCGUGGGGGAUGAAUGGCUUCGGCCCGUAAACCCCUGUCAUUCGCGAACAAUGCCUGCUUUACAACACAUUGCAGGUUGAUAGUAGCGGAAGAGGAAGGGACGGCUAACUCUGUGCCAGCAGCCGCGGUAAUACAGAGGUCCCAAGCGUUGUUCGGAUUCACUGGGCGUAAAGGGUGCGUAGGUGGUCGGAUAAGUCUGAUGUGAAAGCUCAGAGCUCAACUCUGAAAUGGCAUUGGAUACUAUUCGGCUGGAGGGUUGGAGGGGGGACUGGAAUACUUGGUGUAGCAGUGAAAUGCGUAGAUAUCAAGUGGAACACCAGUGGCGAAGGCGAGUCCCUGGACAACUCCUGACACUGAGGCACGAAAGCUAGGGGAGCAAACAGG